Pseudopipra pipra is the source of this 1482-nucleotide long non-coding RNA. RefSeq lists it as uncharacterized. The transcript is spliced from 5 exons. The record is from RefSeq and is a predicted model, not a curated record. Lineage: Eukaryota; Metazoa; Chordata; Aves; Passeriformes; Pipridae.
GAAUGCUGAGUCAAACAUGAAGGGGGGACAAUAAAGCAAGCUGCUCAGAGAGGUGGCUGACCCUAGAUGGACACUGAGGAGUGGGGUGUCUUUUAAUCUUGGACUCAGACUGAAAAAAGGACUUGGGGAAGGGUUUCACGAGACUCCUAAGCCACCCUCCUAAUUCAAAUGUAUCUUCUGAAUAGCUUUCAUGUCUAGUGAGUUGCACUGGCUUUCUGUGGGAUAAGACAAGUGUUAGAGCCAGGGUAUGUGAGAAACAUGCAGAUAAAAUAUGGGAUGAGCUGGAUUUCAACCUUUUGAAGCAGAAAUGCUGUAGUUCAGAUUGAUUCAUAGGAGCCAGCAUAGCUGUAGUGUUGCAGUGUUUUGUACCUCCCAGUACGUGAGACUUUCUCUUAGUACGUGACCUCACUUUCCAGUCAAGGAAGAUGAGGAGAAGGCAGGAGCCCUGUGACCUCAUACAUGAGCUGUACAUAUCAGAAAACCUGAUAUGUAGCAGAUCUCCCUUUGCAUGCAAAGAAAUGCUUCAUGUCUGCAUCUCCUUUUCCCAGGAGAGCACUGUAACCACUGGAUUCUGGAGUUACCCUUCCUCCUGGCCUUUCCUGCUGAAGCCAUAUUGAUGUUCAGUGAAGAAUUUGGCAGUGCUGGAGUGGUGAGGAAGAGCAACCCUGGGUGGUUCUAACACUCCUCAAUCCUUCGUGACUUAAAUGAAGAAAAGUUCUUCUUUCCCCGUUCUCAGAGUGGUGUUGAGUGGAAGGAAUACAAAGGAAUAUAUAUUUAUAAAAAAUUUCCAUAACAAAUAAUUUACUAUCUGAAAUGUGGAUUGAAAAAAGGUGAAACCUCCCUCUUCAAAAAGCAGCUGUGCAGCUGAAUAAUUGGAUCUCAUGACUACAUAAUUGCAAAUGAAGAUCCCAUCGCAGCCAUGGAGACACUGCAGUGCUCAGGAGGCUCUGGAGACUAACGAUAUCACAGUUUGUGGAAGCAGAUUUUGGCACACAAAGUGUCAAAAAUCAAACUCAUCUUCAGUAGAUAUUUAAUUCCUCAGACUUCUGUGGAAAAUCCACAUCUCCACAUAUGUCUUGGACCAAAAAGAGAUUUGCAGAAGAAGCCAUUCAGUGAUAGCAGCAAGAAGGCAAAGGUGAAUUCCACCGAGAAGAAUCUCAGUAAGAAGGAUGAGAGAAGGCUCCAUCAAACAACAAGAGGAGCGAGAGAUGGAUUACAGAGGAGAGAUCAUUUCUUUUACCAGCAGGGACUAGAUGAUAUUUGUUGGUUACAUUUUUGUGAAUAUUUGAAAUUUUAUCAGGUGGGAAGGAAGGAGCUUUCUUUUUACUUAACAGGUUUGGCCUGAAUACCUAUUUAUAUUCACAGAUGUGGAAGUUGUGUGCACUGCUAGUGUAUGACUUUGACUGGGAUUUCUUUGAAGACUUUUAGACUUCUACUUGUUUCAUAUUUGUCCCUCAAAAUUACAGGAGUCAAAUACUCUGA